RNAcentral lists this long non-coding RNA (201 nucleotides) under Sorghum bicolor (sorghum). RNAcentral's name for it is "long non-coding RNA (SBIC_LNC012689)". The record is from RNAcentral. Lineage: Eukaryota; Viridiplantae; Streptophyta; Magnoliopsida; Poales; Poaceae.
AUCUAGUGGCACUUGGGGAUCGUUCUAGCUGCGGUUUUCUUGUUACUCUUGGUGGUUGCCGCCACCUAGACGGCUUGGAGCAGCGGAGGAGGAUUGGCACGAGUUGGUGAUUGUUCGUGGCCAUCUCCCAGUGAUUGUGAGAGGUUUGUGCCUACCUCGGCGGAGUGCCAAAGGCAACAUUAGUGGAUUGCUCGUGUCAUU